GAGUAGUAUGCCCAAAAUACACGUCAGUGUCUAAUUAUACAAGUACAAUAAUAAUUUUGAGGAUAGAUAGACUAAGACAGACCAAGAAACUGCUUGGAAGUCUAUUCAUUGGAGUACCAAAAUAAAAAAAAGAAUAAGCAUCAAUAUUAGGAGUUGUGCUUCCCAUUCCUUUCAAAUAUGAUAAUAUCAUCAAAAAAGUAACGCACUCAUAUAAUCAAAGUUGCAUGAAGUAAGACGCAGAAGAUCUCUACAUGGGGCUCGACCGUGUCCCCUGUUAUGUCCAUCCUCUGCGUAGCACCUCUCACAACAGAUCAACUUGUUGCUCAGUAAAUCACCGCAUUUCUUUCCUUAGAAGCGUAUGUGGAGUCUCUCCUCGGCCAUCUUCGUCUUUGUGUCCAAACAUUGGGCUCCACAUAAAUAGAGAGAUAACCAAAUACUUGCAAUGUUGUUAAUCUGUAUUUCAAUAUUAGUCAGUAAUGGUGUGAAAUUGAGCUAGUUUUGUAUCUAUGGGUUGAUAAACUUCCCAGUGAGAAGUCAUGCAUCCGUCAAUUUGCAGCAUACAAAGAAUGUGAUUGAUGUGAGUGGAUAUUGGUGUUCUGGUGUUGAUAUAAGCAAAUCUCUUAAUGAACUAAAGCCAUCGGCCAUAUCUAUACCAUAUGGGACAAUGCCUAGUAAAAACAAUUUGCAGUCACAAGACGAAGCCAAGUGCUGACAAAAAUGUCAUGAGAAGCCAGCUGGUACAGUUCACCAUCCCAGCAUACUUGAUAGUGCAAAUGACAUACGAUUAUCACAAUGUAAAGUUUUUUUUACCAGUACUAAAUACUGCCCAUCGGAUUAAGGCCAACUUAUAAAGAUAAGUUUCAUGGUGGAUUAGAGACCACUCGGUAAUUCAGAAUCGAGAAGAAAAAAAUACAUAUAACAGGUAGCCGACAAAGCAGAUAAUAAAGCUGAAAUAUCCCCUUAUAUUUCUUCCAGUGAAGUCUCGCCUUUAAUCAUCCAUCCAUAUGUAGUCAUAAACAAUUGAUAAAAGGAGCAGUAUGCUUAGGGAAAAUAUUUUUUUUCUGUGCACAACACUCUAAUAAACACAGUACAGGUUGAUUAAAAGAUAUCCAUCUAUAUAAAGCUCUUGUUUGGUUCUACCCGAGUGCUGCUAAAUGUGAUGGUGGAGUUUCUGCUUGUGAAGAUGCCUUUUCACUCAUCGACUUUACCCACUCACUCCUUCAGCUCCUAAUCCUGCCUGUUUGAGCCAUUACUUUGCCUAAUAUUCUCCUACCAAAAGGAACAACACAUUCACGCAUCCGUUCAGUCAGUUAUGAAAAUUAUGAUAAGCAGGAGAGGCUCGACUAUGAAUCAAUCGAUCCAUGCCCCCUUACCGAGGUGGAACUCAUGGUGACAUGAGAGACUCAUCUUCAUCAAUGUCUCCGCACAGCCACAAUGAGGCAGGUUCAUACAUCUAGCUGAUCUUGGUUAUUACUCGAUGAUUCACUGUCAUCCCCGUGUCUUCUGUUGGUAGCGAAAAAGUUGAGCAGUUUUACAUCAACAAUUACAUACAAAUAAAAUCAUUGUGUUGUCUUCUUCGUGGUGUAAGACUACUUAGUAGGGUGCAUGUCAACCGAACAAUAAGAUGCGUUUUGUGUGAAUUUGAACCCAUAAAUCUCAGACAUGUGAACAAACAGACAUUCAAUUAUUAGUCUGAUAGUCUAGUUAGUUUAAAAAAUAUUGAGUUGCAUAUAACUUUCAGGUGAGCAACAAACAAAAAUCUCUAUAACCACAUACUUGUUAUUGGAGAGUGAACAGUUGUUAUUUCACGUAUCUUACCUUCAUAGACAAUAGAGGAAAACUUCAACUCCAUUAUUGACGCUAUCUCCAUUGCAAGAUUCAGGAAAGAAUUUCUGUUGAGAACCAGUGAAAAAACUAUUAUUAAAAAUACAAGACCACAUGAUGAAGCACGUACUAUUUCAUUUUUCAGUCCUACAGUGUAACAUCAAGAAACAAGCGCUAAUUAAUUCAAGAAUUACAUCAUAACUUUCAGGUGAGAACCAAAUAAAAGUUCCUAUUUCAUUUUUCAGUCCCACGGUGUAACAUCAAGAAAGAGCCCUAAUUAAUUCAAGAAUUACAUCAUAACUUUCAGGUGAGAAAUAAAUAAAAGUUCCUAUAACCACUUGCUUGUUCUUGGUGGAUCAAAAUUUAAAACAUGAAGGCAAGUUGCAAGUUGUCAAUAGGAUCUGGACAACACAUGAAGCUUCCACCGUUCAGCUGUGUGUGUGAGAGAGAAAAAGAGGGAGAGGAUGGCUAACAAGAUGAUAGAUUUGAUGCGACGAAUGGGGGUGAAGAGGGUGGGUACCUGUGGUUGAGUGCUCCCCGUCCCAGGGUAGUGUUUACUGGCU
This 2387-nucleotide long non-coding RNA is filed under the name Hordeum vulgare. Its description in RNAcentral is "long non-coding RNA (HVUL_LNC021217)". Lineage: Eukaryota; Viridiplantae; Streptophyta; Magnoliopsida; Poales; Poaceae. The record is from RNAcentral.